This 460-nucleotide ribosomal RNA is filed under the name uncultured bacterium. RNAcentral describes it as "partial 16S ribosomal RNA". It matches the Rfam family "Bacterial small subunit ribosomal RNA", at positions 338 to 795 of the family's 1533-position model. The record is from RNAcentral.
CCUACGUGUGGCAGCAGUGAGGAAUAUUGGUCAAUGGACGAGAGUCUGAACCAGCCAAGUAGCGUGAAGGAUGACUGCCCUAUGGGUUGUAAACUUCUUUUAUAAAGGAAUAAAACGAGGCACGUGUGCCUUUUUGCAUGUACUUUAUGAAUAAGGAUCGGCUAACUCCGUGCCAGCAGCCGCGGUAAUACGGAGGAUCCGAGCGUUAUCCGGAUUUAUUGGGUUUAAAGGGAGCGUAGAUGGGUUGUUAAGUCAGUUGUGAAAGUUUGCGGCUCAACCGGAAAAUUGCAAUUAAUACUGGCAGUCUUGAGUACAAUUGAGGUAGGCGGAAUUCGUGGUGUAGCGGUGAAAUGCUUAGAUAUCGCGCAGAACCCCGAUUGCGAAGGCAGCGUACCGGCUCCACACUGACGCUGAGGCACGAAAGCGUGGGUAGCGAACAGGAUUAGAUACCCUUGUAGUC